Molecule: ribosomal RNA, 2112 nt
Filed under: Salmonella enterica
Lineage: Bacteria; Pseudomonadati; Pseudomonadota; Gammaproteobacteria; Enterobacterales; Enterobacteriaceae
Also listed under: 1 other name
Description: bacterial LSU rRNA
Rfam family: Bacterial large subunit ribosomal RNA
Source: RNAcentral
AGACCCGAAACCCGGUGAUCUAGCCAUGGGCAGGUUGAAGGUUGGGUAACACUAACUGGAGGACCGAACCGACUAAUGUUGAAAAAUUAGCGGAUGACCUGUGGCUGGGGGUGAAAGGCCAAUCAAACCGGGAGAUAGCUGGUUCUCCCCGAAAGCUAUUUAGGUAGCGCCUCGUGAAUUCAUCUCCGGGGGUAGAGCACUGUUUCGGCUAGGGGGCCAUCCCGGCUUACCAACCCGAUGCAAACUGCGAAUACCGGAGAAUGUUAUCACGGGAGACACACGGCGGGUGCUAACGUCCGUCGUGAAGAGGGAAACAACCCAGACCGCCAGCUAAGGUCCCAAAGUCAUGGUUAAGUGGGAAACGAUGUGGGAAGGCCCAGACAGCCAGGAUGUUGGCUUAGAAGCAGCCAUCAUUUAAAGAAAGCGUAAUAGCUCACUGGUCGAGUCGGCCUGCGCGGAAGAUGUAACGGGGCUAAACCAUGCACCGAAGCUGCGGCAGCGACGCUGAUGCGUUGUUGGGUAGGGGAGCGUUCUGUAAGCCGUUGAAGGUGGCCUGUGAGGGUUGCUGGAGGUAUCAGAAGUGCGAAUGCUGACAUAAGUAACGAUAAAGCGGGUGAAAAGCCCGCUCGCCGGAAGACCAAGGGUUCCUGUCCAACGUUAAUCGGGGCAGGGUGAGUCGACCCCUAAGGCGAGGCCGAAAGGCGUAGUCGAUGGGAAACGGGUUAAUAUUCCCGUACUUGGUGUUACUGCGAAGGGGGGACGGAGAAGGCUAUGUUGGCCGGGCGACGGUUGUCCCGGUUUAAGCGUGUAGGUGUGUGUUCCAGGUAAAUCCGGUUCACUUUAACACUGAGGCGUGACGACGAGGCACUACGGUGCUGAAGCAACAAAUGCCCUGCUUCCAGGAAAAGCCUCUAAGCAUCAGGUAACAUCAAAUCGUACCCCAAACCGACACAGGUGGUCAGGUAGAGAAUACCAAGGCGCUUGAGAGAACUCGGGUGAAGGAACUAGGCAAAAUGGUGCCGUAACUUCGGGAGAAGGCACGCUGACACGUAGGUGAAGUGAUUUACUCAUGGAGCUGAAGUCAGUCGAAGAUACCAGCUGGCUGCAACUGUUUAUUAAAAACACAGCACUGUGCAAACACGAAAGUGGACGUAUACGGUGUGACGCCUGCCCGGUGCCGGAAGGUUAAUUGAUGGGGUCAGCGCAAGCGAAGCUCCUGAUCGAAGCCCCGGUAAACGGCGGCCGUAACUAUAACGGUCCUAAGGUAGCGAAAUUCCUUGUCGGGUAAGUUCCGACCUGCACGAAUGGCGUAAUGAUGGCCAGGCUGUCUCCACCCGAGACUCAGUGAAAUUGAACUCGCUGUGAAGAUGCAGUGUACCCGCGGCAAGACGGAAAGACCCCGUGAACCUUUACUAUAGCUUGACACUGAACAUUGAGCCUUGAUGUGUAGGAUAGGUGGGAGGCUUUGAAGUGUGGACGCCAGUCUGCAUGGAGCCGACCUUGAAAUACCACCCUUUAAUGUUUGAUGUUCUAACGUGGACCCGUAAUCCGGGUUGCGGACAGUGUCUGGUGGGUAGUUUGACUGGGGCGGUCUCCUCCUAAAGAGUAACGGAGGAGCACGAAGGUUGGCUAAUCCUGGUCGGACAUCAGGAGGUUAGUGCAAUGGCAUAAGCCAGCUUGACUGCGAGCGUGACGGCGCGAGCAGGUGCGAAAGCAGGUCAUAGUGAUCCGGUGGUUCUGAAUGGAAGGGCCAUCGCUCAACGGAUAAAAGGUACUCCGGGGAUAACAGGCUGAUACCGCCCAAGAGUUCAUAUCGACGGCGGUGUUUGGCACCUCGAUGUCGGCUCAUCACAUCCUGGGGCUGAAGUAGGUCCCAAGGGUAUGGCUGUUCGCCAUUUAAAGUGGUACGCGAGCUGGGUUUAGAACGUCGUGAGACAGUUCGGUCCCUAUCUGCCGUGGGCGCUGGAGAACUGAGGGGGGCUGCUCCUAGUACGAGAGGACCGGAGUGGACGCAUCACUGGUGUUCGGGUUGUCAUGCCAAUGGCACUGCCCGGUAGCUAAAUGCGGAAGAGAUAAGUGCUGAAAGCAUCUAAGCACGAAACUUGCCCCGAG